This 655-nucleotide ribosomal RNA is filed under the name uncultured bacterium. RNAcentral's name for it is "bacterial SSU rRNA". It matches the Rfam family "Bacterial small subunit ribosomal RNA", at positions 77 to 746 of the family's 1533-position model. The record is from RNAcentral.
AGCUUGCUCUGUGGAUUAGUGGCGAACGGGUGAGUAACACGUGAGUAACCUGCCCUUGACUCUGGAAUAAGCGUUGGAAACGACGUCUAAUACUGGAUACGAGCUUCAGCCGCAUGGCUAGGAGCUGGAAAGAAUUUCGGUCAAGGAUGGACUCGCGGCCUAUCAGGUAGUUGGUGAGGUAAUAGCUCACCAAGCCUACGACGGGUAGCCGGCCUGAGAGGGUGACCGGCCACACUGGAACUGAGACACGGUCCAGACUCCUACGGGAGGCAGCAGUGGGGAAUAUUGCACAAUGGGCGAAAGCCUGAUGCAGCAACGCCGCGUGAGGGACGACGGCCUUCGGGUUGUAAACCUCUUUUAGUAGGGAAGAAGCGAAAGUGACGGUACCUGCAGAAAAAGCACCGGCUAACUACGUGCCAGCAGCCGCGGUAAUACGUAGGGUGCAAGCGUUAUCCGGAAUUAUUGGGCGUAAAGAGCUCGUAGGCGGUUUGUCGCGUCUGCUGUGAAAACUGGAGGCUCAACCUCCAGCCUGCAGUGGGUACGGGCAGACUAGAGUGCGGUAGGGGAGAUUGGAAUUCCUGGUGUAGCGGUGGAAUGCGCAGAUAUCAGGAGGAACACCGAUGGCGAAGGCAGAUCUCUGGGCCGUAACUGACGC